GCCCCCGUGGUGGAACUGGUAGACGCGCCGCACUCAAAAUGCGGUUCCGAAAGGAGUGCCCGUUCGAUUCGGGCCGGGGGCACCA
Molecule: transfer RNA, 85 nt
Filed under: Sphingopyxis sp.
Lineage: Bacteria; Pseudomonadati; Pseudomonadota; Alphaproteobacteria; Sphingomonadales; Sphingopyxidaceae
Also listed under: 1 other name
Description: tRNA-Leu
Rfam family: tRNA
About the family: Transfer RNA (tRNA) molecules are approximately 80 nucleotides in length. Their secondary structure includes four short double-helical elements and three loops (D, anti-codon, and T loops). Further hydrogen bonds mediate the characteristic L-shaped molecular structure. tRNAs have two regions of fundamental functional importance: the anti-codon, which is responsible for specific mRNA codon recognition, and the 3' end, to which the tRNAs corresponding amino acid is attached (by aminoacyl-tRNA synthetases). tRNAs cope with the degeneracy of the genetic code in two manners: having more than one tRNA (with a specific anti-codon) for a particular amino acid; and 'wobble' base-pairing, i.e. permitting non-standard base-pairing at the 3rd anti-codon position.
Source: RNAcentral